RNAcentral lists this ribosomal RNA (508 nucleotides) under uncultured bacterium. Its description in RNAcentral is "partial 16S ribosomal RNA". It matches the Rfam family "Bacterial small subunit ribosomal RNA", at positions 28 to 507 of the family's 1533-position model. The record is from RNAcentral.
GACGAACGCUGGCGGCGUGCCUAAUACAUGCAAGUCGAACGCUUCUUUCCUCCCGAGUGCUUGCACUCAAUUGGAAAGAGGAGUGGCGGACGGGUGAGUAACACGUGGGUAACCUACCCAUCAGAGGGGGAUAACACUUGGAAACAGGUGCUAAUACCGCAUAACAGUUUAUGCCGCAUGGCAUAAGAGUGAAAGGCGCUUUCGGGUGUCGCUGAUGGAUGGACCCGCGGUGCAUUAGCUAGUUGGUGAGGUAACGGCUCACCAAGGCCACGAUGCAUAGCCGACCUGAGAGGGUGAUCGGCCACACUGGGACUGAGACACGGCCCAGACUCCUACGGGAGGCAGCAGUAGGGAAUCUUCGGCAAUGGACGAAAGUCUGACCGAGCAACGCCGCGUGAGUGAAGAAGGUUUUCGGAUCGUAAAACUCUGUUGUUAGAGAAGAACAAGGACGUUAGUAACUGAACGUCCCCUGGCGGUAGCUAACCAGAAAGCCACGGCUAACUACGUG